GACGAACCGUGCGAACGUUGUUCGGAAUCACUGGGCUUAAAGAGCGCGCAGGCGGUCGUUCAAGUCGAGUGUGAAAGCCCCCGGCUCAACUGGGGAGGGUCACUCGAUACUGAUCGACUCGAAGGCAGGAGAGGGAAGCGGAAUUCCCGGUGUAGUGGUGAAAUGCGUAGAUAUCGGGAGGAACACCAGUGGCGAAGGCGGCUUUCUGGUCAGUAACUGACGCUGAGGCGCGAAAGCGUGGGGAGCAAACAGG
RNAcentral lists this ribosomal RNA (253 nucleotides) under uncultured bacterium. RNAcentral describes it as "partial 16S ribosomal RNA". It matches the Rfam family "Bacterial small subunit ribosomal RNA", at positions 524 to 776 of the family's 1533-position model. The record is from RNAcentral.